This 245-nucleotide ribosomal RNA is filed under the name uncultured bacterium. RNAcentral's name for it is "partial 16S ribosomal RNA". It matches the Rfam family "Bacterial small subunit ribosomal RNA", at positions 524 to 768 of the family's 1533-position model. The record is from RNAcentral.
UACGGGGGGAGCAAGCGUUGUUCGGAAUCACUGGGCGUAAAGGGUGUGUAGGCGGGUAAGCAAGUCGGGCGUGAAAACUCCAAGCUUAACUAGGAGCGGGCGCUCGAUACUACUUGUCUUGAGUACGGGAGAGGAAAGUGGAAUUCCUGGUGUAGCGGUGAAAUGCGUAGAUAUCAGGAGGAACACCGGUGGCGAAGGCGGCUUUCUAGACCGAUACUGACGCUGAGACACGAAGGCUAGGGGAG